Molecule: unclassified non-coding RNA, 1470 nt
Filed under: uncultured fungus
Lineage: Eukaryota; Fungi
Also listed under: 1 other name
Description: sequence contains 18S rRNA gene, ITS1, 5.8S rRNA gene, ITS2, 28S rRNA gene
Rfam family: Eukaryotic large subunit ribosomal RNA (bases 526-1470)
Source: RNAcentral
GGAAGGAUCAUUACCGAGUGCGGGUCCUUUGGGCCCAACCUCCCAUCCGUGUCUAUUAUACCCUGUUGCUUCGGCGGGCCCGCCGCUUGUCGGCCGCCGGGGGGGCGCCUUUGCCCCCCGGGCCCGUGCCCGCCGGAGACCCCAACACGAACACUGUCUGAAAGCGUGCAGUCUGAGUUGAUUGAAUGCAAUCAGUUAAAACUUUCAACAAUGGAUCUCUUGGUUCCGGCAUCGAUGAAGAACGCAGCGAAAUGCGAUAACUAAUGUGAAUUGCAGAAUUCAGUGAAUCAUCGAGUCUUUGAACGCACAUUGCGCCCCCUGGUAUUCCGGGGGGCAUGCCUGUCCGAGCGUCAUUGCUGCCCUCAAGCCCGGCUUGUGUGUUGGGUCGCCGUCCCCCUCUCCGGGGGGACGGGCCCGAAAGGCAGCGGCGGCACCGCGUCCGAUCCUCGAGCGUAUGGGGCUUUGUCACAUGCUCUGUAGGAUUGGCCGGCGCCUGCCGACGUUUUCCAACCAUUUUUUCCAGGUUGACCUCGGAUCAGGUAGGGAUACCCGCUGAACUUAAGCAUAUCAAUAAGCGGAGGAAAAGAAACCAACCGGGAUUGCCUCAGUAACGGCGAGUGAAGCGGCAAGAGCUCAAAUUUGAAAGCUGGCUCCUUCGGAGUCCGCAUUGUAAUUUGCAGAGGAUGCUUUGGGUGCGGCCCCCGUCUAAGUGCCCUGGAACGGGCCGUCAGAGAGGGUGAGAAUCCCGUCUUGGGCGGGGUGUCCGUGCCCGUGUAAAGCUCCUUCGACGAGUCGAGUUGUUUGGGAAUGCAGCUCUAAAUGGGUGGUAAAUUUCAUCUAAAGCUAAAUACUGGCCGGAGACCGAUAGCGCACAAGUAGAGUGAUCGAAAGAUGAAAAGCACUUUGAAAAGAGAGUUAAACAGCACGUGAAAUUGUUGAAAGGGAAGCGCUUGCGACCAGACUCGCCCGCGGGGUUCAGCCGGCAUUCGUGCCGGUGUACUUCCCCGUGGGCGGGCCAGCGUCGGUUUGGGCGGCCGGUCAAAGGCCCCUGGAAUGUAGUACCCUCCGGGGUACCUUAUAGCCAGGGGUGCAAUGCGGCCAGCCUGGACCGAGGAACGCGCUUCGGCACGGACGCUGGCAUAAUGGUCGUAAACGACCCGUCUUGAAACACGGACCAAGGAGUCUAACAUCUACGCGAGUGUUCGGGUGUCAAACCCGUGCGCGCAGUGAAAGCGAACGGAGGUGGGAGCCCCCUCGCGGGGCGCACCAUCGACCGAUCCUGAUGUCUUCGGAUGGAUUUGAGUAAGAGCGUAAAUGUGGGGACCCGAAAGAUGGUGAACUAUGCCUGAAUAGGGCGAAGCCAGAGGAAACUCUGGUGGAGGCUCGCAGCGGUUCUGACGUGCAAAUCGAUCGUCAAAUUUGGGUAUAGGGGCGAAAGACUAAUCGAACCAUCUAGUAGCUGGUUCCUGC